UACGUAGGGUGCGAGCGUUGUCCGGAAUUAUUGGGCGUAAAGAGCUCGUAGGCGGUCAGUCGCGUCUGCUGUGAAAACUCGGGGCUUAACUCCGGGCCUGCAGUGGGUACGGGCUGACUAGAGUGCGGUAGGGGAGACUGGAAUUCCUGGUGUAGCGGUGAAAUGCGCAGAUAUCGGGAGGAACACCAAUGGCGAAGGCAGCUCGCUGGGACGUGACUGACGCUGAGACGCGAAAGCGUGGGGAGCAAACAGG
This 253-nucleotide ribosomal RNA is filed under the name uncultured bacterium. RNAcentral's name for it is "partial 16S ribosomal RNA". It matches the Rfam family "Bacterial small subunit ribosomal RNA", at positions 524 to 776 of the family's 1533-position model. The record is from RNAcentral.